GGUUAAGCGACUAAGCGUACACGGUGGAUGCCCUGGCAGUCAGAGGCGAUGAAGGGCGUGCUAAUCUGCGAUAAGCGCCGGUAAGGUGAUAUGAACCGUUAUAACCGGCGAUACCCGAAUGGGGAAACCCAGUGUGACUCGUCACACUAUCAUUAACUGAAUCCAUAGGUUAAUGAGGCGAACCGGGGGAACUGAAACAUCUAAGUACCCCGAGGAAAAGAAAUCAACCGAGAUUCCCCCAGUAGCGGCGAGCGAACGGGGAGGAGCCCAGAGCCUGAAUCAGCAUGUGUGUUAGUGGAAGCGUCUGGAAAGGCGCGCGAUACAGGGUGACAGCCCCGUACACAAAAGCGCAUGUGCUGUGAGCUCGAUGAGUAGGGCGGGACACGUGGUAUCCUGUCUGAAUAUGGGGGGACCAUCCUCCAAGGCUAAAUACUCCUGACUGACCGAUAGUGAACCAGUACCGUGAGGGAAAGGCGAAAAGAACCCCGGCGAGGGGAGUGAAAAAGAACCUGAAACCGUGUACGUACAAGCAGUGGGAGCCCCACCACCAAAGCAUUCUCUGGUGUUGAAGGCCCUGCAAAGCAGCAUCGCGGUGGCGGAGCGUCGUUUGCGACGCCCAACACACAAAACAAGCGGUGAAUGCUUUGGGGUGGGGUGACUGCGUACCUUUUGUAUAAUGGGUCAGCGACUUAUAUUCUGUAGCAAGGUUAACCGAAUAGGGGAGCCGGAGGGAAACCGAGUCUUAAUUGGGCGUUAAGUUGCAGGGUAUAGACCCGAAACCCGGUGAUCUAGCCAUGGGCAGGUUGAAGGUUGGGUAACACUAACUGGAGGACCGAACCGACUAAUGUUGAAAAAUUAGCGGAUGACCUGUGGCUGGGGGUGAAAGGCCAAUCAAACCGGGAGAUAGCUGGUUCUCCCCGAAAGCUAUUUAGGUAGCGCCUCGUGAAUUCAUCUCCGGGGGUAGAGCACUGUUUCGGCUAGGGGGCCAUCCCGGCUUACCAACCCGAUGCAAACUGCGAAUACCGGAGAAUGUUAUCACGGGAGACACACGGCGGGUGCUAACGUCCGUCGUGAAGAGGGAAACAACCCAGACCGCCAGCUAAGGUCCCAAAGUCAUGGUUAAGUGGGAAACGAUGUGGGAAGGCCCAGACAGCCAGGAUGUUGGCUUAGAAGCAGCCAUCAUUUAAAGAAAGCGUAAUAGCUCACUGGUCGAGUCGGCCUGCGCGGAAGAUGUAACGGGGCUAAACCAUGCACCGAAGCUGCGGCAGCGACACUGUGUGUUGUUGGGUAGGGGAGCGUUCUGUAAGCCUGUGAAGGUGUGUCGUGAGGCAUGCUGGAGGUAUCAGAAGUGCGAAUGCUGACAUAAGUAACGAUAAAGCGGGUGAAAAGCCCGCUCGCCGGAAGACCAAGGGUUCCUGUCCAACGUUAAUCGGGGCAGGGUGAGUCGACCCCUAAGGCGAGGCCGAAAGGCGUAGUCGAUGGGAAACGGGUUAAUAUUCCCGUACUUGGUGUUACUGCGAAGGGGGGACGGAGAAGGCUAUGUUGGCCGGGCGACGGUUGUCCCGGUUUAAGCGUGUAGGUGUGUGUUCCAGGUAAAUCCGGUUCACUUUAACACUGAGGCGUGACGACGAGGCACUACGGUGCUGAAGCAACAAAUGCCCUGCUUCCAGGAAAAGCCUCUAAGCAUCAGGUAACAUCAAAUCGUACCCCAAACCGACACAGGUGGUCAGGUAGAGAAUACCAAGGCGCUUGAGAGAACUCGGGUGAAGGAACUAGGCAAAAUGGUGCCGUAACUUCGGGAGAAGGCACGCUGACACGUAGGUGAAGUGAUUUACUCACGGAGCUGAAGUCAGUCGAAGAUACCAGCUGGCUGCAACUGUUUAUUAAAAACACAGCACUGUGCAAACACGAAAGUGGACGUAUACGGUGUGACGCCUGCCCGGUGCCGGAAGGUUAAUUGAUGGGGUCAGCGCAAGCGAAGCUCCUGAUCGAAGCCCCGGUAAACGGCGGCCGUAACUAUAACGGUCCUAAGGUAGCGAAAUUCCUUGUCGGGUAAGUUCCGACCUGCACGAAUGGCGUAAUGAUGGCCAGGCUGUCUCCACCCGAGACUCAGUGAAAUUGAACUCGCUGUGAAGAUGCAGUGUACCCGCGGCAAGACGGAAAGACCCCGUGAACCUUUACUAUAGCUUGACACUGAACAUUGAGCCUUGAUGUGUAGGAUAGGUGGGAGGCUUUGAAGUGUGGACGCCAGUCUGCAUGGAGCCGACCUUGAAAUACCACCCUUUAAUGUUUGAUGUUCUAACGUGGACCCGUUACCCGGGUUGCGGACAGUGUCUGGUGGGUAGUUUGACUGGGGCGGUCUCCUCCUAAAGAGUAACGGAGGAGCACGAAGGUUGGCUAAUCCUGGUCGGACAUCAGGAGGUUAGUGCAAUGGCAUAAGCCAGCUUGACUGCGAGCGUGACGGCGCGAGCAGGUGCGAAAGCAGGUCAUAGUGAUCCGGUGGUUCUGAAUGGAAGGGCCAUCGCUCAACGGAUAAAAGGUACUCCGGGGAUAACAGGCUGAUACCGCCCAAGAGUUCAUAUCGACGGCGGUGUUUGGCACCUCGAUGUCGGCUCAUCACAUCCUGGGGCUGAAGUAGGUCCCAAGGGUAUGGCUGUUCGCCAUUUAAAGUGGUACGCGAGCUGGGUUUAGAACGUCGUGAGACAGUUCGGUCCCUAUCUGCCGUGGGCGCUGGAGAACUGAGGGGGGCUGCUCCUAGUACGAGAGGACCGGAGUGGACGCAUCACUGGUGUUCGGGUUGUCAUGCCAAUGGCACUGCCCGGUAGCUAAAUGCGGAAGAGAUAAGUGCUGAAAGCAUCUAAGCACGAAACUUGCCCCGAGAUGAGUUCUCCCUGAGACUUAGAGUCUCCUGAAGGAACGUUGAAGACGACGACGUUGAUAGGCCGGGUGUGUAAGCGCAGCGAUGCGUUGAGCUAACCGGUACUAAUGAACCGUGAGGCUUAACCUU
This 3007-nucleotide ribosomal RNA is filed under the name Salmonella enterica subsp. enterica serovar Heidelberg. RNAcentral's name for it is "23S ribosomal RNA". It matches the Rfam family "Bacterial large subunit ribosomal RNA". The record is from RNAcentral. Lineage: Bacteria; Pseudomonadati; Pseudomonadota; Gammaproteobacteria; Enterobacterales; Enterobacteriaceae.